AAAGCAGAUGGCUCAAUUGAGAGAAACAAAGUUAGACUGGUAACAAAGGGAUUCACACAGACAUAUGGAGUAGAUUAUUAGGAGACAUUUGCCCUUAUUGCAAAUAUAAACACCAUCAGGAUUUUAUUGUCUUGUACAGCAAAUUUUGAUAGGAAUUAUAGCAGUUCAAUAUCAAAAAUGAUUUUUUGCAUGGAGACUGAGAGGAAGAAGUAUAUAUGGAAAUACUUCCAGGAUUUGCAGAUGAAAAAACCAAAGGGAAGGUUUGCAAAUUGAAAAAGGUUUUGUAUGGCCUAAAGCAAUCUCCUAGGACAUCGUUUGACAUAUUCAACAAGGAUAUGGUCUCUUUUGACUUCUGUCAGAGUAAUGCUGAUCACACUUCAUUUAUAAAACAUUGUAGAGGUAA
Molecule: unclassified non-coding RNA, 403 nt
Filed under: Hevea brasiliensis (rubber tree)
Lineage: Eukaryota; Viridiplantae; Streptophyta; Magnoliopsida; Malpighiales; Euphorbiaceae
Source: RNAcentral